This 148-nucleotide non-coding RNA is filed under the name Chlorocebus sabaeus (green monkey). The record is from Rfam by way of RNAcentral. Lineage: Eukaryota; Metazoa; Chordata; Mammalia; Primates; Cercopithecidae.
GCUGGGUGUGGUGGCGGGCACCUGUAAUCCCAGCUACUCAGGAGGCUGAGGCAGGAGAAUUGCUUGAACCCAGAAGGUGGAGGUUGCAGUGAGCUGAGAUUGUGCCACUGUACUCCAGCCUGGGUAAGAAAGCAAGACUCUGUCUUUA